UAUCUUGUGUAAUCCUAACAGGAGGAGCAGGCCAACACUCACCUGUCCAGGUACAGGAAGGUGCAGCAUGAGCUGGAGGAGUCUCAUGAGCGCGCUGACAUCGCCGAGUCCCAGGUCAACAAGCUGAGAGCCAAGAGCCGUGAAGCUGGGAAGACUAAAGAUGAAGAAUGAAGACAAUAAACUACACCUACAAGCAAGCAUAUGACUGACUUGUGCUGAGUUUUUCUGUGUCCAUUAAAUGGCAGAGUUUGAA
Long non-coding RNA from Sinocyclocheilus grahami, 253 nucleotides. RefSeq lists it as uncharacterized. The record is from RefSeq and is a predicted model, not a curated record. Lineage: Eukaryota; Metazoa; Chordata; Actinopteri; Cypriniformes; Cyprinidae. The transcript is spliced from 2 exons.